CCACCAUGGCUGAUUUUGAGCUACCAUGGGGACAUCAAUGGACUCACAACAUUUCUGAAAAUUUAACAGUAGGCUCUUUUGAGCCAGUACAAGCCAGUUCCAGCGCAAGCUAGCUCUAUCACACCACACUGCCUGAGGGUAUAACAGUGAACACAACUUACUGACCAACAGAGACAGAAGCAAAUAGAGUGUGCCUUGGAAAACAGAAAAAGAAACAGGUGUAAUCCAUCUAAAACAACUAGACCAUCUAUUGUAAGCUGAGAGAAAGAGAAGUGAGAAAGAAAUCCUCAAAGCAAAUGAAUGCCAGUGCUGGCAAGAAAAUCUCCCUGGUCUCAUCUGUAGUUACAGCUGAAUAUUAGAGUCUCGAUAAAAUACUGGCAAACCGAAUGCAGCAGCACAUCAAAAAGCU
This 409-nucleotide long non-coding RNA is filed under the name Homo sapiens (human). Its description in RNAcentral is "HSALNT0284608". The record is from RNAcentral. Lineage: Eukaryota; Metazoa; Chordata; Mammalia; Primates; Hominidae.